Molecule: ribosomal RNA, 893 nt
Filed under: uncultured bacterium
Lineage: Bacteria
Description: bacterial SSU rRNA
Rfam family: Bacterial small subunit ribosomal RNA
Source: RNAcentral
AGAGUUUGAUCCUGGCUCAGGGUUAACGCUGGCGGCGUGCCUAACACAUACAAGUCGAACGGUUCUAAGCGCGAGCUUAGGAUAGUGGCGAACGGGUGAGUAAAAGGUAGGAAUCUACCCCUUGGACGGAGAUAGCUACUGGAAACGGUAGGUAAACUUCGAUAAGCCCGAGAGGGGAAAGUGGUGAGACAGCCGAGGGAUGAGCCUACUCUCCAUCAGGUAGUUGGUGAGAUAAAAGCUUACCAAGCCGAUGACGGAUAACCGGUGUGAGAGCAUGAACGGUCACAAGGGCACUGAGAGACGGGCCCUACUCCUACGGGAGGCAGCAGUGGGGAAUCUUGGACAAUGGGCGAAAGCCUGAUCCAGCGACGCCGCGUGGAGGAAGAAGUCCUUCGGGAUGUAAACUUCUGAACUAGCCGAAUAAAAGGCCUGUGGACACACAGGAGAAGAAAGUAGGCUAGGAAAAGUCCCGGCUAACUACGUGCCAGCAGCCGCGGUAAGACGUAGGGGGCAAGCGUUACCCGGAAUUACUGGGCGUAAAGGGGGCGUAGGCGGUAAAAGAAGUCAUCUGUGAAAACCUAUUGCUCAACGAUAGGCUAGCGGAUGAAACUGAAUUACUUGAGGGCACCAGAGGUAGACGGAAUUACCCGAGUAGGGGUGAAAUCCGCAGAUACGGGUAGGAACGCCGGUGGAGAAGUCGGUCUACUGGGGUGCACCAGACGCUGAGGCCCGAAAGCUAGGGGAGCAAACCGGAUUAGAUACCCGGGUAGUCCUAGCCGUAAACGAUGCUCACUAGGUGUAGGGAGUGAUAAACUCUCUGUGCUGAAGCGAACGCGCUAAGUGAGCCGCCUGGGGAGUACGUCCGCAAGGAUGAAACUCAAAUGAAUUGACGG